This 406-nucleotide ribosomal RNA is filed under the name uncultured bacterium. Its description in RNAcentral is "partial 16S ribosomal RNA". It matches the Rfam family "Bacterial small subunit ribosomal RNA", at positions 30 to 526 of the family's 1533-position model. The record is from RNAcentral.
AUUGAACGCUGGCGGCAGGCCUAACACAUGCAAGUCGAACGAGUGGCGGACGGGUGAGUAAUGUCUGGGAAACUGCCCGAUGGAGGGGGAUAACUACUGGAAACGGUAGCUAAUACAGCAUACCAUCGGAUGUGCCCAGAUGGGAUUAGCUAGUAGGUGGGGUAACGGCGCACCUAGGCGACGAUCCCUAGCUGGUCUGAGAGGAUGACCAGCCACCCUGGAACUGAGACACGGUCCAGACUCCUACGGGAGGCAGCAGUGGGGAAUAUUGCACAAUGGGCGAAAGCCGGAUGCAGCCAGGCCGCGUGUAUGAAGAUGGCCUUCGGGUUGUAAAGUACUUUCAGCGAGGAGGCGUUACUCGCAGAAGAAGCACCGGCUAACUCCGUGCCAGCAGCCGCGGUAAUUC